GAUGGUGUCCAACACACAAGAGGAAUGUGUGUGUGGACUUACCAUUGCAACUGCAAAAAGCCACUGCUCAGCUUGGCUUAUGAUGUUCAGCCCUUCUGCAAUUCCAGGGAUCUAUGGAUGAUGCCCAUUGACUGCCCAUAUAGGGACACUCAGGCUUCAGACUGCACAGAAAGAGAGGGAUGAGAGAGAGAAACGGGCGUGAGCUUCACCCAGCCUCCAGAUGUCUUGAAAAGUUCAUGCUUCAAAUGUACUUACAGAACAAAGAGAGGAAAUAUCCAGGCAAAUCUUUCCUUAUAUUCAAUUUGUUGGAAAGCUUUUAGAUCCUGCUGUUGUUCUUUGUGCAUACACGAGUGUAAUCUUAACAGCACAUCUGGCAUCAUGGAUGUAGAACUGCAGCUUUCUGUUUCUACAUAAACCCGUGCACACUUUGAGAAUGAAUCUGGGCCUGUGGUUCCUCCAUAGGCAGUGAUCUCCACAUUGCCUCUUUGUUCCAGUAACAAGGACCACUCUGGUUAGUGCCUCAGAGGUGACAGGAUAAAAAAAAUUGUUGAUGGAUGAUUAAAGAUAUGAUUACUUCCUCUUACCACAAA
This is a long non-coding RNA of Passer domesticus (house sparrow), 590 nucleotides long. RefSeq lists it as uncharacterized. NCBI's taxonomy places the organism in Eukaryota, Metazoa, Chordata, Aves, Passeriformes, Passeridae. The transcript has 2 exons. The record is from RefSeq and is a predicted model, not a curated record.